CGGGAAGUGGAAGGUGACAAGAACUCAAGGUUGGGCUGAGAGGUGGGAAACUUUGAGAUGCCCUUGCCCCGCACCUAUAGCUGAGACACAAGGUGCGUACAAUGGCGGCAGCCUCAGGAUCCAGCCCGCUCUCCCAGGGAAGAAACUGAGGCAGAGAGCAGCUAAGUAACUUGAUCAAGGCCACAGCUGGUCAUGGAUUCCUCUGAGAUACUAAUAAUGCAAUGGACCCUCUCCCUAGAGAUAUGCACAUGAGUUUUUGCAUAAUACUUAGAAAGAUUCACAAAUACCACCUCUCCCUCCAAUCUCAUCAAUUGUCUUUCCACAGGGCCACAGACUCCUCCCUAUAUAUACAUUCUGUUCAGAGGGCCUAAAAAAAUUAGCUAGGGUCAGACAUGAUGAGCUCUAGUGGCCUGGGAACAGGAGUGAUUAAACAGCAAUAAAGGGCUUUUCUCCAAAUUGGGUUA
This is a long non-coding RNA of Equus caballus (horse), 464 nucleotides long. RefSeq lists it as uncharacterized. The record is from RefSeq and is a predicted model, not a curated record. NCBI's taxonomy places the organism in Eukaryota, Metazoa, Chordata, Mammalia, Perissodactyla, Equidae.